GGAAAAUUCUGUCGGAGGUCGGGGAACAUGGCGUAGCUAUUAUCACUAUCAAUCGUCCACCUCUCAAUCUGCUUUCUGUUGACGUGGUAUUGAGCUUGAAAGAGAAGAUUGAGGAAGCUAUACGUAAAGAUAGUGUGAAGGCAAUUGUCAUUACUGGUUCAAGAGGAAACUUCUCAGCAGGAUUUGUUGUAACAGCUUUUGGUGGAAGUCAACAGAGAAAGACACAUAGAGAACUUGGCUUUAUGUCAAUUGACUUUAUCACUGACACAUUGGAAGCUUCAAGGAAACCCAUUGUUGCUGCUGUUGAAGGUUUUUGUUUGGGAGGGGGAUUUGAAAUUGCACUAGCUUGUCAUGCUCGCAUAUCAACAUCUACCUCAAAAUUAGGUCUUCCCGAACUUCAGUAUGGGAUUCUUCCUGGGUUUGGAGGAACACAACGGCUUCCUCGGCUGGUUGGCCUUCCAAAGGCUCUUGAAAUGAUUCUGACGUCAAAGCGGAUAAGUGGAGACGAAGCUUGCAAUAUGUGCC
This 525-nucleotide unclassified non-coding RNA is filed under the name Hevea brasiliensis (rubber tree). Lineage: Eukaryota; Viridiplantae; Streptophyta; Magnoliopsida; Malpighiales; Euphorbiaceae. The record is from RNAcentral.